This 459-nucleotide ribosomal RNA is filed under the name uncultured bacterium. RNAcentral's name for it is "partial 16S ribosomal RNA". It matches the Rfam family "Bacterial small subunit ribosomal RNA", at positions 338 to 795 of the family's 1533-position model. The record is from RNAcentral.
CCUACGGGAGACAGCAGUGAGGAAUAUUGGUCAAUGGCCGGGAGCCUGAACCAGCCAAGCCGCGUGAAGGAAGAAGGCGCCAUGCGUCGUAAACUUCUUUUGUCGGGGAACAAAGUGCGCCACGCGUGGCGUUUUGAGUGUACCCGACGAAAAAGCAUCGGCUAACUCCGUGCCAGCAGCCGCGGUAAUACGGAGGAUGCGAGCGUUAUCCGGAUUUAUUGGGUUUAAAGGGUGCGUAGGCGGUCCGGAAAGUCAGCGGUAAAAGCGCGGGGCUCAACCCCGGCGAGCCGUUGAAACUGUCGGACUAGAGAGGGCGAGAAGUACGCGGAAUGCGCGGUGUAGCGGUGAAAUGCAUAGAUAUCGCGCAGAACUCCGAUUGCGAAGGCAGCGUAGCGGCGCCGGACUGACGCUGAGGCACGAAAGCGUGGGUAUCGAACAGGAUUAGAUACCCUAGUAGUC